CUGACUACUAUCGGGCCAUUCUUGGCGGAUGGUCCGGAGCUGAGCGUUCCGGUCCCCCCUUCCGGGGCGGGGAUCGGUGGCUUGAAAGGAAGUGUGACACGCGCGUUCGCGUGCCAAGCAUUGCAGGCUCCUCGAGUCUUUUGCUGCUGGCAGACAAAACGCGAACCGUCGCGGUCUCGUCGUGCGCGCCGUGCUCCUCCUCUGGCGGAGGCACACCCC
Molecule: unclassified non-coding RNA, 219 nt
Filed under: uncultured Ascomycota
Lineage: Eukaryota; Fungi; Ascomycota
Description: sequence contains ITS2
Source: RNAcentral